UAAAAAGAAGCAACGUCAAGGCUUGUCUAGGCUACAGAGUUCAGGGAUAUUGAGGUCCUAUCUUUGAAGAAAAAAAGAAAGAAGGCUGUGAGUAUAUAUCACAGUGGUAGAGUACAGGCCCCAGCACGCUCAGACCCUCAGCUCAGUCCUUGGUGUCUCUGAUUGCUCUCAGCCAGUCACUUUUGAAGCUGAGGGUGUGAAUGGCACCUGGCAUCAGGGAAGGUGUGAUUGGUGCCUCUUCUCACCCCCUCUGGGCUUCCCACCCACAGGCAGUUUCCUGGGAAGACCGUUCAAGCCUUAAAGAGCACCUCAUCGUCAAGGCCCGUGUUUCCUUUGACCCAUUUUUUGACCCACCUUUGAACUUAAGCUCCUUAGCAGUUCCCAGGCCAGGUGCAUUGUGGAUGUUUCGAGCAGUCUCAUUUUUUCCUUUUUACUCAUUUCGAACGUGUGUAAGAAAACCCCUUGAAUUUGCUUUUUGUUUAGCAUCAUUUCAAAGGGGUAAAAUAAAUAGAAAACAAGUGCCAAGGAAUAAGUAAUCAGAGGAAGAAAUGCCCAUUAGAGUGAUGUAUGAUAGACACAUUCACUAAGAACAUAUUCCAAUAUCAAACACCAAAUUCCAGCUCUGCAGAAAUCUACUUGUGAGGGAAGAAUUCUGGUGAUUAAAGUUUUAAGGAAUAGAAAACAAAGAAAGGAGAAAAAAAAUUGAA
Molecule: long non-coding RNA, 707 nt
Filed under: Rattus norvegicus (Norway rat)
Lineage: Eukaryota; Metazoa; Chordata; Mammalia; Rodentia; Muridae
Description: long non-coding RNA NONRATT012850
Source: RNAcentral